RNAcentral lists this ribosomal RNA (253 nucleotides) under uncultured bacterium. Its description in RNAcentral is "partial 16S ribosomal RNA". It matches the Rfam family "Bacterial small subunit ribosomal RNA", at positions 524 to 776 of the family's 1533-position model. The record is from RNAcentral.
UACGGAGGGGGCUAGCGUUGUUCGGAAUUACUGGGCGCAAAGCGCGCGUAGGCGGACCUGCAAGUCGGGGGUGAAAGCCCGAGGCUCAACCUCGGAACUGCCUUCGAUACUGCGGGUCUCGAGUCCGGGAGAGGUGAGUGGAAUUCCUAGUGUAGAGGUGAAAUUCGUAGAUAUUAGGAAGAACACCAGUGGCGAAGGCGGCUCACUGGCCCGGUACUGACGCUGAGGCGCGAAAGCGUGGGGAGCAAACAGG